AGAGUUUGAUCAUGGCUCAGAACAAACGCUGGCGGCGUGUCUUAAGCAUGCAAGUCGAGCGGCAAGGCGGGGCGACCCGCCCUAGAGCGGCGGACUGGUGAGUAACGCGUGGGUAAUCUACCUUGGGCAUGGGGAUAGCCAUUAGAAAUAGUGGGUAAUACCGAAUACGCUCGCGGGGGGAAGGGUCCUGUGAGGAAAGGGUGCUACGGCACCGGCCUGAGAUGAGCUCGCGUCCCAUUAGCUAGUUGGUGAGGUAAGGGCCCACCAAGGCGAUGAUGGGUAGCCGGCCUGAGAGGGUGUACGGCCACACUGGGACUGAGAUACGACCCAGACUCCUACGGGAGGCAGCAGCUAAGAAUAUUCCGCAAUGGACGAAAGUCUGACGGAGCGACGCCGCGUGGAUGAAGAAGGCCGAAAGGUUGUAAAGUUCUUUUGCGAGGGAAGAAUAACCGCAGGAGGGAAUGCCUGUGGGAUGACAUGAACUUGCGAAUAAGCCCCGGCCAACUACGUGCCAGCAGCCGCGGUAACACGUAGGGGGCGAGCGUUGUUCGGAAUUACUGGGCGUAAAGGGCAUGUAGGCGGUCUGGUAAGCCUGGCGUGAAAGACCACAGCUUAACUGUGGGGUUGCGUUGGGAACUGCUGGGCUUGAGUGACGGAGAGGGAGCUGGAAUUCCUGGUGUAGGGGUGAAAUCUGUAGAUAUCAGGAAGAACACCGAUGGCGAAGGCAAGCUCCUGGCCGAUGACUGACGCUGAGGUGCGAAAGUGUGGGGAUCAAACAGGAUUAGAUACCCUGGUAGUCCACACGGUAAACGAUGUGCACUAGGUGCUGGGGCGGUAGCCUCGGUGCCGGAGCGAACGUGGUAAGUGCACCGCCUGGGGAGUAUGCUCGCAAGGGUGAAACUCAAAGGAAUUGACGG
This 917-nucleotide ribosomal RNA is filed under the name Spirochaetaceae bacterium enrichment culture clone B31159. RNAcentral's name for it is "bacterial SSU rRNA". It matches the Rfam family "Bacterial small subunit ribosomal RNA", at positions 8 to 916 of the family's 1533-position model. The record is from RNAcentral. Lineage: Bacteria; Pseudomonadati; Spirochaetota; Spirochaetia; Spirochaetales; Spirochaetaceae.